AAAUUGAAGAGUUUGAUCAUGGCUCAGAUUGAACGCUGGCGGCCGGCCUAACACAUGCAAGUCGAACGGUAACAGGAAGCAGCUUGCUGCUUCGCUGACGAGUGGCGGACGGGUGAGUAAUGUCUGGGAAACUGCCUGAUGGAGGGGGAUAACUACUGGAAACGGUGGCUAAUACCGCAUAACGUCGCAAGACCAAAGAGGGGGACCUUCGGGCCUCGUGCCAUCAGAUGUGCCCAGAUGGGAUUAGCUAGUUGGUUAGGUAACGGCUCACCAAGGCGAC
Molecule: ribosomal RNA, 280 nt
Filed under: Salmonella enterica subsp. enterica serovar 1,4,[5],12:i:-
Lineage: Bacteria; Pseudomonadati; Pseudomonadota; Gammaproteobacteria; Enterobacterales; Enterobacteriaceae
Description: partial 16S ribosomal RNA
Rfam family: Bacterial small subunit ribosomal RNA
Source: RNAcentral